RNAcentral lists this ribosomal RNA (253 nucleotides) under uncultured bacterium. RNAcentral's name for it is "partial 16S ribosomal RNA". It matches the Rfam family "Bacterial small subunit ribosomal RNA", at positions 524 to 776 of the family's 1533-position model. The record is from RNAcentral.
UACAGAGGUCUCAAGCGUUGUUCGGAUUCAUUGGGCGUAAAGGGUGCGCAGGCGGCGGGGCAAGUCGGACGUGAAAUCUCGGGGCUUAACCCCGAAACUGCGUUCGAUACUGCCCUGCUAGAGGACUAGAGAGGAGACUGGAAUUCCUGGUGUAGCAGUGAAAUGCGUAGAUAUCAGGAGGAACGCCAAUGGCGAAGGCAAGUCUCUGGACAGUUCCUGACGCUCAUGCACGAAGGCCAGGGGAGCAAACGGG